Molecule: non-coding RNA, 1927 nt
Organism: Sus scrofa (pig)
Lineage: Eukaryota; Metazoa; Chordata; Mammalia; Artiodactyla; Suidae
Source: RefSeq, a predicted model, not a curated record
GGAAAUCCGCCUGCUCCCGCCGGAGGCCCAGCUGCAGCGGCUGAGCCACGCUUCUCCAGAGGAGUAGACUGGGUGCGGGACGCCGAAAGGUGACGGGAGACGCACGAAGGCUGCCUGAGGGACAUCUUGGUUGCAGACAUCCGGAAGAGGACUUGGGAAAACAGUGGAGCACAGGAUGGAAAAACGCCUUGUUUCUUAACCACCAUGUGGAAACAACUACUGACACUUAAUGAUUCAGUGGAAGUCCACUCUAUUUCAGAGUCAGCACCACCAAUGAAAUGGAAUGAAGGAGAGAGGGCAGUGGUAGUCAAGGUCCUCUUCAGUCCCAAAUUGUCUUUUAAUAGUGGAGGAACCAUUGUUGGAUUACCUCCUCAUUUUCCUACAAGUCCUUCCCCCCCAGAGCUGCCACUCUGCUAUAUUCUUUCCUGAAAGCAAGAAGCAAUGAUGAAGAAAAAAUCCAGGGUUUGGUCAACAUGUGGAGGCAAUAUCCUUGUAUUUUGUUUCUGUACCAACAUAGACAUUUUAUUGAAACACUAUAAAAUUAUGUUUUAAGAAUAUUUGUAAAGUGUAAAUGUUAUUAAAACAAUGCUGAAGCACUGUGAUAUUAAUGCAUUAAAUGUAAAACAAUGAAUUAUGUAAAUUACUAUAAUUAAUAUUUAUGGAAAAAGAUCUUGCAGGUAUGCACUUCAAAACCCACUGUAUACUAUAUUUUUAUUUUCAACUUUUAAACAUUUCUUUAGUUUGAAGAUUGUUGAUCAUUUCUAAAGAAAAUAGAGUUUUACUAAUAAACUAAUGUUUUAAUUUUUUAUUCAUGUGCUUUUGAACUGAGAAUCAAUGAGAGAAUUAGAGAAAAAAUUUUAUUUGUGAUUGCCUAAAUUAUUGCUUAGCUUAAAUAUGUGAACUAGCUAAUUUAUACUGAUUAUAAGCGAAAAAGUCAUAACAAUAAACUGAAUAUCUCAUUAUUUGACUUCCAUCAUACAAUGAAGAAACAUCUUUAAGUUGGGAAUUUCAUUUUAGCUUCUCCUUGUAGAGCCUUCUUUGUUGCCAUAGGUGUUCCUAUAUAGCCUUUAUGUGGUAGUUUGCACCAACAGGUAUUCUUAUUAAAAUAGGUUUAUUUUAAAUUAUACAGAUAAUAUAUUUAAAUUUUUAAUUUAAAAUAUAGGCAUAGAGUAGAAAUUAUUGUUAGAGAUUACAUAGAAAUUUUACACUAAUGUACAUGCACCUGCAUACAUAUGGAUUUAUAUUAUAUCUGUUUUUCUUAAUUUUUUCAUUUAGUAUGUUAUACGGACCAAAAUAAGUCUUGAAUAUGAUAAAAAUAUGUGGAAAAUUUCUUUGAGUGUUUUUUUUGAUGAGUACUAGCCUAGCUAUUAUUGCUGCAUAAAAAUUGACUCCAAAAUGUAAGAGUUUAAAGCAACAAUAAUCAUUUUAUGAUUUCUCACAGCAUGGUGUCUAGGGUCAGGAAUUUGGGGAUGCACUAGCCGAGUAGUCUGGCUUCAGGUCUCCUUUGAAAUUGUUGUCAGAUGGUGAGUGGGGCUGGAACAGCAGGUGACUGGAGAAGCUCAGGGCUUUGCUGGACAUCUGUUUUUUUAUGAAGUUUCCUUGUCAGGUUUUAGUAUAAGCGUUAUGCUGAUUAUGUAGAAUGAGAUAGAAGUGUUGGUCAUUUUCUAUUCUGUGGGACAUUUGGGGGAAUAUUUCAUAUUAUUUGUUCAUUUGUUCAUAUUAAUAAUUCAUGUUAUUUGUUCCUUAAAUAGUUUGAAGAAUGCAUCAGUGGAACCAUCUGACCUAGUGCUUUUCUUUUUUAACAAGGAUUUUAUAUAUGAAUUAAAUUUUAUUUACAUAUAAAGAAUUAUUCAGAAUUUAUAUUCAUUUUGUAUUGGUAAAUUGAAUUUGUGAGAUAUUUGUCUAUUUCAUUAAAAAUUCUUAAGUC